Molecule: ribosomal RNA, 464 nt
Filed under: uncultured bacterium
Lineage: Bacteria
Description: bacterial SSU rRNA
Rfam family: Bacterial small subunit ribosomal RNA
Source: RNAcentral
AAUCAACGCUGGCGGCGUGCCUCAGACAUGCAAGUCGAACGAUUAAAGCUCUCUUCGGAGAGUGCAUAAAGUGGCGCACGGGUGAGUAACACGUAAGUAAUCUACCUUCGAGUGGGGAAUAACGUCCGGAAACGGACGCUAAUACCGCAUAAUGCAGCGGCAUCGCAAGAUGACAGUUGUUAAAGAUUUAUCGCUUGAAGAGGAGCUUGCGGCAGAUUAGCUAGUUGGUAAGGUAAUGGCUUACCAAGGCUACGAUCUGUAACCGGUCUAAGAGGACGGUCGGUCACACUGACACUGAAUAACGGGUCAGACUCCUACGGGAGGCAGCAGUCGGGAAUUUUGGGCAAUGGGCGAAAGCCUGACCCAGCAACGCCGCGCGAAGGAUGAAGUAUUUCGGUAUGUAAACUUCGAAAGAAUGGGAAGAAUAAAUGACGGUACCAUUUAUAAGGUCCGGCUAACUACGU